This 71-nucleotide transfer RNA is filed under the name Monoraphidium minutum. RNAcentral describes it as "tRNA-Tyr". It matches the Rfam family "tRNA". Rfam says of the family: Transfer RNA (tRNA) molecules are approximately 80 nucleotides in length. Their secondary structure includes four short double-helical elements and three loops (D, anti-codon, and T loops). Lineage: Eukaryota; Viridiplantae; Chlorophyta; Chlorophyceae; Sphaeropleales; Selenastraceae. The record is from RNAcentral.
GACGGUGUAGCUCAGUGGUUAGAGCGCGGCGGAUAACGCCGAGGUCAUGGGUUUGAACCCCAUCUCCGUCA